Molecule: ribosomal RNA, 426 nt
Filed under: uncultured bacterium
Lineage: Bacteria
Description: bacterial SSU rRNA
Rfam family: Bacterial small subunit ribosomal RNA
Source: RNAcentral
GACGAACGCUGGCGGCGUGCUUAAUACAUGCAAGUCAACUUGACUUUAGAUAGCAAUAUCGAAAAGUAGGGUGGCGCACGGGUGCGUAACGCGUAGGUAAUCUGCCCUGAGGUCUGACAUAACCCGUCGAAAGGCGGGCUAACAUCAGAUGAUAUAUAAUCACGACAUCGUGGAAAUAUCAAAUCUUCGGAGCCUUGGGAUGAGCCUGCGUCUGAUUAGGUAGUUGGCGGAGUAAUAGCCCACCAAGCCUACGAUCAGUAGCUGGUCUGAGAGGAUGAUCAGCCACACUGGAACCGAGACACGGUCCAGACUCCUACGGGAGCAGCAGUAAGGAAUAUUGCUCAAUGGGGAAACCCUGAAGCAGCAACGCCGCGUGAAGGAUGAAAUACUUUUGUAUGUAAACUUCUGUAAGAUGGGAAAAAUAUU